RNAcentral lists this ribosomal RNA (425 nucleotides) under uncultured bacterium. RNAcentral describes it as "partial 16S ribosomal RNA". It matches the Rfam family "Bacterial small subunit ribosomal RNA", at positions 354 to 796 of the family's 1533-position model. The record is from RNAcentral.
GUGGGGAAUCUUGCGCAAUGGGCGAAAGCCUGACGCAGCCAUGCCGCGUGAAUGAUGAAGGUCUUAGGAUUGUAAAAUUCUUUCACCGGGGACGAUAAUGACGGUACCCGGAGAAGAAGCUCCGGCUAACUUCGUGCCAGCAGCCGCGGUAAUACGAAGGGGGCUAGCGUUGCUCGGAAUUACUGGGCGUAAAGGGCGCGUAGGCGGACAGCUUAGUCAGAGGUGAAAGCCCAGGGCUCAACCUUGGAAUUGCCUUUGAUACUGGCUGUCUUGAGUUUGGGAGAGGUGAGUGGAACUCCGAGUGUAGAGGUGAAAUUCGUAGAUAGUCGGAAGAACACCAGUGGCGAAGGCGACUCACUGGCCCAAUACUGACGCUGAGGCGCGAAAGCGUGGGGAGCAAACAGGAUUAGAAACCCCAGUAGUCC